This 86-nucleotide transfer RNA is filed under the name Chloroflexota bacterium. RNAcentral describes it as "tRNA-Leu". It matches the Rfam family "tRNA". Rfam says of the family: Transfer RNA (tRNA) molecules are approximately 80 nucleotides in length. Their secondary structure includes four short double-helical elements and three loops (D, anti-codon, and T loops). The record is from RNAcentral. Lineage: Bacteria; Bacillati; Chloroflexota.
GCCGAAGUGGCGGAACGGCAGACGCGACGGUCUCAAAAACCGUUGGGCGCAAGCCCAUCUGGGUUCGAUUCCCAGCUUCGGCACCA